Molecule: long non-coding RNA, 350 nt
Filed under: Mytilus galloprovincialis (Mediterranean mussel)
Lineage: Eukaryota; Metazoa; Mollusca; Bivalvia; Mytilida; Mytilidae
Source: RNAcentral
GUUUUUAUUUAAAUUUGCAGGUAUGUUUGAUUACAAGUAUUGUGUGACAGUUGGUCUAAUUGACCAAAAAAUCUUGCAAGGUGUGUACAGGCAUUGUCAACAUUUGCCAUCUGAUUGAACUUUACAACCAGUGCUUGAGAUCCCAUGACAUUCAGACAAUUACUUUUACUCCAAAAUAGUGUUGGUUCUCGGUUCUUAAAAAACUAAAAUUGAUUGUAAAUAAUGAACAAUUCCAUAUACUUAUGCUCAAUUUUAAGCAGAUUUUGUUCUGAAACAAAGCUUGGUUGCAAUUGCCAAUUUAAGUCUUUAUUAAAUGCGCCAGUGAAGACUUGGACUUUUCAACUUUCUUG